CAGAAAUCAAACAAAUCACCAAAUAAGUGACCGCAGUGGAUUACAAAAAAAAAAUAGAACAAGGAACCUGACCCUAAAUCAUAAUAGAGAAAAUUGAAUAACUAUAACCAAAUCGUUAUAUGGUAUUAAUAUAUAAUAAAGAUACAAAUUACCCAUGGUUAUUCCAUGGUUGUGAUUAUACCUUACAUGGGAAAACUCGGUAGUGAUGCUACAAAUUACCCAUGGUUAUCAUUAUACCUUAUAUGGGAGUAUUCGGCAGUGAUGCUAGAUAUUACCCAUGGUUAUUCCAUGGUUAUGAUUUUACCUUAAAUGAGACUACUCGGCAGCAAAGCUAGAAAUUACACAUGGUUAUCCCGAACUAGACAACAAAACCUAUCUCGAUUGGUUUUUCCAUGG
RNAcentral lists this long non-coding RNA (396 nucleotides) under Linum usitatissimum (flax). RNAcentral describes it as "long non-coding RNA (LUSI_LNC002972)". Lineage: Eukaryota; Viridiplantae; Streptophyta; Magnoliopsida; Malpighiales; Linaceae. The record is from RNAcentral.